CUAAUACCGCAUACGAUCUACGGAUGAAAGCAGGGGAUCGCAAGACCUUGCGCGAAUGGAGCGGCCGAUGGCAGAUUAGGUAGUUGGUGAGGUAAAGGCUCACCAAGCCGUCGAUCUGUAGCUGGUCUGAGAGGACGACCAGCCACACUGGGACUGAGACACGGCCCAGACUCCUACGGGAGGCAGCAGUGGGGAAUUUUGGACAAUGGGCGAAAGCCUGAUCCAGCCAUGCCGCGUGCAGGAUGAAGGCCUUCGGGUUGUAAACUGCUUUUGUACGGAACGAAACGGCCUUUUCUAAUAAAGAGGGCUAAUGACGGUACCGUAAGAAUAAGCACCGGCUAACUACGUGCCAGCAGCCGCGGUAAUACGUAGGGUGCAAGCGUUAAUCGGAAUUACUGGGCGUAAAGCGUGCGCAGGCGGUUAUGUAAGACAGUUGUGAAAUCCCCGGGCUCAACCUGGGAACUGCAUCUGUGACUGCAUAGCUAGAGUACGGUAGAGGGGGAUGGAAUUCCGCGUGUAGCAGUGAAAUGCGUAGAUAUGCGGAGGAACACCGAUGGCGAAGGCAAUCCCCUGGACCUGUACUGACGCUCAUGCACGAAAGCGUGGGGAGCAAACAGG
Molecule: ribosomal RNA, 618 nt
Filed under: Variovorax paradoxus
Lineage: Bacteria; Pseudomonadati; Pseudomonadota; Betaproteobacteria; Burkholderiales; Comamonadaceae
Description: bacterial SSU rRNA
Rfam family: Bacterial small subunit ribosomal RNA
Source: RNAcentral